This 253-nucleotide ribosomal RNA is filed under the name uncultured bacterium. Its description in RNAcentral is "partial 16S ribosomal RNA". It matches the Rfam family "Bacterial small subunit ribosomal RNA", at positions 524 to 776 of the family's 1533-position model. The record is from RNAcentral.
UACGGGGGGGGCAAGCGUUGUUCGGAAUUACUGGGCGUAAAGGGCGCGUAGGCGGCCUGCUAAGUCGGACGUGAAAUCCCUCGGCUCAACCGAGGAACUGCGUCCGAUACUGGUGGGCUUGAAUCCGGUAGAGGGAAGCGGAAUUCCCGGUGUAGUGGUGGAAUACGUAGAUAUCGGGAGGAACAUCUGUGGCGAAGGCGACACCCUGGACCAGCACUGACACUGAGGCACGAAAGCGUGGGGAGCAAACAGG